This 440-nucleotide ribosomal RNA is filed under the name uncultured bacterium. RNAcentral's name for it is "bacterial SSU rRNA". It matches the Rfam family "Bacterial small subunit ribosomal RNA", at positions 338 to 795 of the family's 1533-position model. The record is from RNAcentral.
CCUACGGGUGGCACCAGUGGGGAAUAUUGGACAAUGGGCGAAAGCCUGAUCCAGCAAUGCCGCGUGUGUGAAGAAGGUCUUCGGAUUGUAAAGCACUUUCGACGGGGACGAUGAUGACGGUACCCGUAGAAGAAGCCCCGGCUAACUUCGUGCCAGCAGCCGCGGUAAUACGAAGGGGGCUAGCGUUGCUCGGAAUGACUGGGCGUAAAGGGCGCGUAGGCGGUUUAUGCAGUCAGAUGUGAAAUCCCCGGGCUUAACCUGGGAACUGCAUUUGAGACGCAUAGACUAGAGGUCGAGAGAGGGUUGUGGAAUUCCCAGUGUAGAGGUGAAAUUCGUAGAUAUUGGGAAGAACACCGGUGGCGAAGGCGGCAACCUGGCUCGAUACUGACGCUGAGGCGCGAAAGCGUGGGGAGCAAACAGGAUUAGAUACCCGUGUAGUC